Molecule: unclassified non-coding RNA, 828 nt
Filed under: Hevea brasiliensis (rubber tree)
Lineage: Eukaryota; Viridiplantae; Streptophyta; Magnoliopsida; Malpighiales; Euphorbiaceae
Source: RNAcentral
AGAGAGAGAGAGAGAGAGGCAAAUGCCUAAUCCUGGUAUAUCAAAAAAUCAAUGGAGGUUAUAAAAAUUAUAAUUUUGGAAAGGUAAUUGGGGUGUUUAAUUUGUUUCUUUAACUAAAACGCUUAAAAUAGAAAGCAAUUUUGCAGCAAUUAAAAACCCUAAAUUAGUUGCCAACAAGCCAAGCAUCCAGCUCUUCGUUAUUAAGGAAGAUAAAUGUUUCCUUGUAAGCUAGAUAUUGCUUCAUUCUCUAAUAAUAGAUAAGAGCUUGUAAAAUAAACUUGGAAUCAUUUCAAUUAAAAUAAAUUGAACCAGAUCAAAUCAGUUUGAAUUAAAUUGAACCAGAUCGAAAUUGAACUAAAUUCAAACUGAAACCGAAUCAAAGAUCUGAUUCUGAAUCCCUAACCCUUAAAAUUGAAAUCAUUUAUCUAAUUACGGUUAUUUCCUCUCGGAUUCGCCGAGUUUGCUUCUGCUUGCUUCCCCUGCCUUUGACAGCGUUGUCCCUACUUCUUUGGCUGGCUUGGGGUUAGCUCUCCCUCUCCUGAGUUCGGUGUACAAAGUUUUUGUGUUGUGGAUGUUUUUGCAUGUUCGUUGAUAGUGGUGAGAACACAUUGAAGCUUGUGUUAGAUGAGCGUCUUCUGGCAUGGUUGCUUGGUCAGAGGGUGUAGUGAGCAGAUGAGUCCGCUGGAUAUACAUGUCAUUGGCUGACCCAAGGCUAUCAAAGAUUGCAACGCCUUGCUCCUGUACCUAUUCCACCCUCUGCUUUGGCCGCCUCUGUUGCUGCCUUUGCUUUGAUCUUGAGAUUUGUUUUCGGCUGGGUAUGGGCUUGUG